GGACAACGCUAAGAAAUAAAAAUGAUUUGUUCUUUUGAUCUUUUCUUACAUUAUUUCUGGAGCGAGAUCGGCCGUUUGGGGUAUUGAUUUUCUCACCUCAGAGAAAAAUAAAUUUGAGUGGAAUAUAGAACAUGAGGAAAUUCGUAGAAAAAUUAUUCACAUUCUUACUAAUAAACCAGUUUUGAUUAUCUUUGACCCGCAAUAUCCAAUAGAGUUCCACACCGAUGCGAGUGCAAUCGGAUAUGGUGCUAUACUCUUGCACAGAAUUGAAAAUAAACCGUAUGUAGUGGAAUACUACAGUAAGACAACAAGUGUAUGCGAAUCUAAAUAUACUUCGUAUGAGUUGGAAACUCUUGCGGUGGUAAAUGCAGUCAAGCAUUUCCGGCACUACUUACAUGGCAGAAAGUUUGUAAUAUUCACUGAUUGUAAUUCUUUAAAAUCAUCACGAAAUAAGAUUGAGUUGUUGCCUAGAGUCUAUCGCUGGUGGGCUUAUUUACAGACAUUCGAUUUUGACAUACAGUAUAGAGAAGGCAAGCGUAUGGCUCAUGCUGAUUUCUUUUCCAGAAAUCCACUUCCUCCGGAAAAUUCCCCUGAAUAUGCGAAAGUUGUUGAAAAGCGAAUCGACUUAACUGAGGAUUAUCUGAGGAUUGGAUUUGUGCAGAGCAACAGAAAGAUCAAGAUAUCGUAGAAAUCGUUGCCAAGCUGAACAAUGAUGAAUGUCCAUUCGAUUUGGCUAAGACAUAUGAUUUGAGAGCUGGAGUUUUGUAUAGAAUCAUACAAAGAAAUGGCAAGACCCUAUGUUUGCCAGUGGUGCCUUGUGGAUUUAGAUGGUCAGUUAUUAACCAAGUACAUGAAUCCAUAAUGCAUCUGGGCUGGGAGAAAACACUUGACAAGGUUUACGAUUACUAUUGGUUUGAGGGCAUGGCCAAAUACGUUCGAAGAUUUGUUGAAAAUUGUAUAACCUGCCGAGUGUCCAAAUCAUCUUCUGGAAAAUUACAAAUGGAAUUACAUCCUAUUCCCAAAGUAAACAUUCCGUGGCAUACUGUUCACAUAGACAUAUCAGGCAAGCUUAGUGGUAGCUAGCUCAUACACGAGGGCGUGUAAUUUAUCAGAAUGGCCGUGUCGGAGAAGGGAAUGAUAUUUUGAAAUAGGCGCCCUAUCGAUGGUCAACUGUUCACGAGACGUAUUGAUAGGACGAGUUGUAAUCGAUUGUGAGAUUUCAAUAACAUUGAGAUCGAGUGUGGCCCUGAUAGUGUGUGGCCGUGCGUUUCUAUCGAGAAGAGAACGAGGAAAAGCACACACACGCAGCGGCAAGAAUCAAUAAGAGGAAAACUACAGGGACACGCUUCACAAUUUGGAUUAAGUCUACGCUCCGUCAUAUUUAUAUCUGUGUUAAUAAUUAAUUUUAUGUAAUAUAUGUAAUAAUCGGAACACAGGGAACACCACGGGGAGGAUAUUACAAUUGUAAUGGGGUCCUAUAUUUAUAUGACCUUUGAGUUUAUUUUUCACUCAACGCAAUUGCUAUUUGCGCUUAUAUUUUCGUACUUUAAUAUUGCAACAAAAC
Drosophila sechellia is the source of this 1564-nucleotide long non-coding RNA. RefSeq lists it as uncharacterized. Lineage: Eukaryota; Metazoa; Arthropoda; Insecta; Diptera; Drosophilidae. The record is from RefSeq and is a predicted model, not a curated record. The transcript has 2 exons.